UGACGUAAACAUCACAUCAAGAAAAACAUGGCGGGGAAGUGUGUACAUGGGGACAAUUAUUUGCUACUCCUCGUUGCUAAAUAAAAGCAAUUUUCUCCCAGCAAAUGAUAUAUUUUUGAAAAGGUCACAAUGUUUCGUCGGUCAAGAUUUAAUGUUCGUCCCAACGUCAGUACGGUGGGGAGAACAGCAGCAGCAGCAGCACCUCAGGAAACCCCUUCUGCAAAUCAGGAGGCCAGUGACCUCUCCAGAGAUGUCAGUGUGAACAUCGCUGCUGCUGCUGUGACCAAUAACAAGUCUACUGUGACCCCAUCAGAAAAUACUACGGCUCCAGAUUAUGGUAAGAACCAAAAUGAGGAAGGAACCAACUCUUCAGCUGCAGUCCAGAGAAGGAAGCGGUUUGCUGUCAAGCCCAAGGUGGCCCCAGGUCGCCCCUCCACUGUUGCUCGGAUGCCAAAGUCACCUGUAAAGGCAACUGUUGUUGAAGUGUCUGGCUUGGACCUCGAUAAGCCAACAACAUCCAGCCAAAUCAGUCCUGCGGCGGGCCCC
Molecule: long non-coding RNA, 546 nt
Organism: Monopterus albus (swamp eel)
Lineage: Eukaryota; Metazoa; Chordata; Actinopteri; Synbranchiformes; Synbranchidae
Exons: 3
Source: RefSeq, a predicted model, not a curated record